GCUCGGGGUCGGAUCUCGCGGCCACCUCCCACCCUUGUCUCUAUACACCUGUUGCUUUGGCGGGCCCACCGGGGCCACCUGGUCGCCGGGGGACGCACGUCCCCGGGCCCGCGCCCGCCGAAGCGCUCUGUGAACCCUGAUGAAGAUGGGCUGUCUGAGUACUAUGAAAAUUGUCAAAACUUUCAACAAUGGAUCUCUUGGUUCCGGCAUCGAUGAAGAACGCAGCGAAAUGCGAUAAGUAAUGUGAAUUGCAGAAUUCCGUGAAUCAUCGAAUCUUUGAACGCACAUUGCGCCCCCUGGCAUUCCGGGGGGCAUGCCUGUCCGAGCGUCAUUUCUGCCCUCAAGCACGGCUUGUGUGUUGGGUGUGGUCCCCCCGGGGACCUGCCCGAAAGGCAGCGGCGACGUCCGUCUGGUCCUCGAGCGUAUGGGGCUCUGUCACUCGCUCGGGAAGGACCUGCGGGGGUUGGUCACCACCAUAUUUUACCACGGWUGACCUCGGAUCAGGUASGAGUUACCCGCUGAACUUAAGCAUAUCAAUAAGCGGARGAA
Molecule: ribosomal RNA, 549 nt
Filed under: Talaromyces flavus
Lineage: Eukaryota; Fungi; Ascomycota; Eurotiomycetes; Eurotiales; Trichocomaceae
Description: eukaryotic LSU rRNA
Source: RNAcentral